UGAAGUAAGUAAGGGCGUACGGUGAAUGCCUUGGUGCCAACAGGCGAAGAAGGACGCGGCAAGCUGCGAAAAGCCUCGGGAAGCUGCAAGCAAGCGAUGAUCCGGGGAUAUCCGAAUGGGGUAACCUGAUCGAGGCAAUACUCGAUCGUUCAUACCUGAACACAUAGGGUAUGAAACGCGAAACCCGCUGAAGUGAAACAUCUCAGUAAGCGGAGGAAAAGAAAGAGAAAUCGAUUCCGUAAGUAGUGGCGAGCGAAAGCGGAUGGAGCCCAAACCGAAGGUAUUCCUUCGGGGUUGUAGGACCACGUCAUAUUCGACCAUACUGGAUAGUAGAACAGCCUGGAAAGGCUGGCCGGAGAAGGUGAAAGCCCUGUAGACGAAAUCCAGAGUGGGAAUUAGUGGUAUCCUGAGUAAUACAUCACACGUGGAACGAUGUAUGAACCCGCGCGGACCACCGCGCAAGGCUAAAUACUAGUUGGCGACCGAUAGUGAACAAGUACCGCGAGGGAAAGGUGAAAAGAACCGCUGUGAGCGGAGUGAAACAGAACCUGAAACCGUAUGUCUACAAAGUGUCAGAGCAGAGCAAUCUGCGAUGGCGUGCCUUUUGUUUAAUGAGUCUGCGAGUCAGUGUUUGUGGCAAGACUAAGGGCUUCCGGCCCGGAGUCGCAGCGAAAGCAAGUCCGAACAGGGCGCAAUAAGUCGCAGGUACUGGACCCGAAGCGGAGGUGACCUACCCUUGGCCAGGUUGAAGCAUGGGUAAAACCAUGUGGAGGACCGAACAGGUGAACGUUGAAAAGUUCUCUGAUGAGCUGAGGGUAGGAGUGAAAGGCUAAUCAAACCCCGUGAUAGCUGGUUCUCUUCGAAAUGCAUUUAGGUGCAGCGUCACGUGCUGAUGCGCGGGGGUAGAGCACUGACAAGGCUAGGGGGCACACCCGCUUACCAAACCUUAUCAAACUCCGAAUACCGUGCAAUGGAACGUGGCAGUGAGACAGUGGGGGAUAAGCUUCAUUGUCGAGAGGGAAACAACCCAGACCAGCAGCUAAGGUGCCUAAAUAACGCUCAGUGGAAAGGAUGUGGGAUUACACAGACAGUGAGGAUGUUGGCUUAGAAGCAGCCACCAUUUAAAAAAUGCGUAAUAGCUUACUCAUCGAGUGAUCCUGCGCCGAAAAUGAUUGGCGAUCAAGCGUUAUACCGAAGCUCUGGACUUUGCCGCAAGGCAGAGUGGUAGAAGAGCGUUGCAUGCGCGUCGAAGGGCGAUGGCGACUGACCCUGGAGCACAUGCAAGUGAGUAUGCAGACAUGAGUAACGUUAAGCCGGGUGAAAUCCCCGGCCGCCGUAAACCCGAGGUUUCCAGGGCAACGUGUUUCGUCCCUGGGUUAGCCGGGACCUAAGCCGAGGCCGAGAGGCGUAGGCGAUGGACAUCAGGUUAAUAAUCCUGAGCUCGCAACCCUUAAACUGGGGGGACGCAUGAGAAAAGAUGACUAGGUUAUUGAAUUCCGAGUUGAGUCCACGGACUCAGCGCAUCAUUGGAUCGAGUGCCAAGAAAAGCCCCAGCGUAUGCUAAGCGACCCGUACCGCAAACCGACACAGGUGGGUGGGUAGAAUAUACCAAGGCGUAAGAGUGAAACCUGGUUAAGGAACUCGGCAAAUUAGCCCCGUAACUUCGGAAGAAGGGGUGCCUGCAGCGAUGCAGGCCGCAGAGAAAUGGCCCAACCGACUGUUUAUCAAAAACACAGCACUCUGCAAAGACGCAAGUCGAAGUAUAGGGUGUGACACGUGACCAAUGCCGAAAGAUUAAGGCAAGGGGUUAGCCGCAAGGCGAAGCUCUAAACCCAAGUCCCGGUGAAUGUCGGCCGUAACUAUAACGGUCCUAAGGUAGCGAAAUUCCUUGUCGGGUAAGUUCCG
This 1905-nucleotide ribosomal RNA is filed under the name human gut metagenome. RNAcentral describes it as "bacterial LSU rRNA". It matches the Rfam family "Bacterial large subunit ribosomal RNA", at positions 1 to 1985 of the family's 2925-position model. The record is from RNAcentral.